Molecule: ribosomal RNA, 252 nt
Filed under: uncultured bacterium
Lineage: Bacteria
Description: partial 16S ribosomal RNA
Rfam family: Bacterial small subunit ribosomal RNA
Source: RNAcentral
ACGUAGGUGGCUAGCGUUAUCCGGAUUCACUGGGCGUAAAGCGCGUGCAGGCGGUUCCGUAAGUCGGACGUGAAAGCUCCUGGCUUAACUGGGAGAGGUCGUUCGAUACUGCGGGACUUGAGGUUGGGAGAGGGACGUGGAAUUCCCGGUGUAGUGGUGGAAUGCGUAGAGAUCGGGAGGAACACCAGUGGCGAAGGCGACGUCCUGGCCCAUACCUGACGCUGAGACGCGAAAGCGUGGGGAGCGAACGGG